Homo sapiens (human) is the source of this 2029-nucleotide long non-coding RNA. RefSeq lists it as uncharacterized. The record is from RefSeq and is a predicted model, not a curated record. Lineage: Eukaryota; Metazoa; Chordata; Mammalia; Primates; Hominidae. The transcript has 10 exons.
UUAUACACCUUGAAGCAUAUUGGGAAAAUUGCCACAGCACUUUGCAAAUUCUCCCAUCAUGAGGUGGAGUGCAUUUCAGGCUGGCUUUGUGACUUGCUUUGGCCAAUAAUAUAAAUGACACUGGGUGAGUUAUAAGCCUAGUUCAAGAGGCAUUGCAGCUACAUCUCUUGCUCUUCUUGGAAUACUGAGACUACCAUCAUGUGCUCAAGCCCAGACUACCCUCCUAGAUGAUAAAAAACACAUGGCUCAGUUGAUACCCAUAACCACAGAGUUGAUAGCCAGCCUAUCUCCAAAGCAGAGCUUCCCAACUGACUCAAAACUAUACACAAAGUGAAUGAGCCCAGCCAAGAUCAGCAGUGGAACUGCCUGCCUGAAGAUAGCCCAAAUACAAACCUACAGAAUCAUGACCUCUGUAAAUGGGUGUGUUAAGCCACUGAGUUUUGGAUGGUUUGUACACAGCCAUAGAUAACCAGUAAAGAUAUUCAGAGGUAAUUAGAAGGUGUUUCAUCCUAUGCCCUGUCAAUAGAAACACAAGUAAAAUAACCAAACAAAGCUCAUUGGGAAAUGUGUAAUGAAAGUCAUAAUGCAGGAACAACAUUUUCAAGAGGAACUACAUUAAGCAAGUAUUUUCACAGCAGGUAGCUGUCCAAGGGAGAGAUUGCUGAAGCUUGGUGGCGGUGAUGGUUGUGCAUUGGCAGUGAAGGUCCAGAAGUUUCUCCAGUUCUUAAGAGAGAGGAAUCCCUGGCUCAAGAGAAUGGAGUCACUUGCCCAGGGUCAUCCAACUGAGCUGGUGCCCUUUGCACUCCCCAAGCUGCUUCUCUCUGGGUUUGGUAAAGGUUUUUUGUCUUUACGAGAAACAGAGAUGGAGCCUCACUGUUGUCAAGGCUGGUCUCAAACUCCUGGUCUCAAGCGAUCCUCCCACCUUGGCUUCCCAAGACACCAGUUCUUUUAUUUCAUCCUCCCCAAAUCUCUGAGCUCGGACUUCUAUUCUGGGGUGAAUUUGGGGUAAUCGUGACAAUGACAACAGACAAAAUUACUGAUGCUGGGAGCAGCAAGUUGGGUUUGGAGGUCAUUGCUAAGCUGUAAAAGAAGUGAUUUGACUAUAAACUUUGGCUGGGCCUCCCUGAACGGGAUCACAUACCACAAUGGAACCUCUGACAGGAAAGGUGGCUUCCCUCAUGCCCCAUCGUACUUUUUCAUCAUUCUUUAGAACCAUGGAGGAGUUCAAAUACCAGCUCAGACACUUCCUUGCUAGAUGACCUCAGUUCAGGAACUUGUUCAGUUUGAAAAGGGAAGAAGAAAGUCAGGGAUGGUUUCUUCUUGUGUCGUGGUGUCUCAAAUCUAAAAGGGCAGAGAAGAUGUGAACUGAGAGGGGCUCACCGAAAUCUGGAAAGGCCAUUGUCACAGUGGUGGUGGGAGGCACCUGAUUUCCUUGACACCUACUUUACACCACGUACUUUCUGUAUUGCCAUUGAACCUGUGACCACCUUGUUCAGCAGAAGGAGGAACGUGCCGUGACGAGAGAAGGCUGAAUGUUUGCUGCCUCUGGAGGAAGUGAGAGCUGCUCAAAGGUGGUGACCACGGCUUCAAGGCAACUCAUGAAUCUCUACUCAAACCCUCCAGUGGCUGCCUGUUUUACUUAGAGUAAAAGCCCAAGUCUUACAGGGGCCUAUGAAGUCUUUAUCUGUCAGAGUCCAACUGGGAAACACAAUCCAUACCAGGGGAAGUUUUCUCUGAUGCUCACACGAUGUGGGAACUUGUCACAUCUUCAAUCUCCGGGAACGUCCUCACCUGAAAUUGAAAGGUAGAACAAAGGCAGUCAAGGGUGCAAGGAUAUUAGAAGCUGUGUUCUGUGAGCUUUCAUGAAGGCUGUGGAAGGAUCCAGGCAGGAUGGCCUCAAAUUAAGAUUUUAAUGACUCUUUGGUUUAGAAAACACACUCUUGCUGUUAACGCUAUCUUAUCAGGUAUCAUUUUUGAAUUCACAGAUGAAAGUUAAAAAAUUCAUAAUUAUACAAAUACUUGCCUUGUA